RNAcentral lists this ribosomal RNA (254 nucleotides) under uncultured bacterium. RNAcentral's name for it is "partial 16S ribosomal RNA". It matches the Rfam family "Bacterial small subunit ribosomal RNA", at positions 524 to 776 of the family's 1533-position model. The record is from RNAcentral.
CACGUAGGGGGCAAGCGUUGUCCGGACUUAUAGGGCGUAAAGAGCUCGUAGGCGGCUCGGUAAGUCGGGUGUGAAAUUCCAGGGCUCAACCCUGGAACGCCACUCGAUACUGCUGUGGCUAGAGUCCGGUAGGGGAGCGUGGAAUUACUAGUGUAGCGGUGAAAUGCGCAGAUAUUAGGAGGAACACCAGCGGCGAAGGCGGCGCUCUGGGCCGGAACUGACGCUGAGGAGCGAAAGCAUGGGGAGCUAACAGG